Molecule: ribosomal RNA, 422 nt
Filed under: uncultured bacterium
Lineage: Bacteria
Description: bacterial SSU rRNA
Rfam family: Bacterial small subunit ribosomal RNA
Source: RNAcentral
GGAAUAUUGGACAAUGGGCGCAAGCCUGAUCCAGCCAUGCCGCGUGUGUGAAGAAGGCCCUCGGGUUGUAAAGCACUUUUGUUGGGGAAGAAAAGACCGGGGUGAAUAACUCUGGUUCAUGACGGUACCCAAAGAAUCAGCACCGGCUAACUUCGUGCCAGCAGCCGCGGUACUACGAAGGGGGCAAGCGUUACUCGGAAUUACUGGGCGUAAAGCGUGCGUAGGCGGUGUGUUAAGUCUGUCGUGAAAGCCCCGGGCUCAACCUGGGAAUGGCGGUGGAUACUGGCAGGCUAGAGUACGGUAGAGGAUGGUGGAAUUCCCGGUGUAGCAGUGAAAUGCGUAGAGAUCGGGAGGAACAUCUAUGGCGAAGGCAGCCAUCUGGACCAGUACUGACGCUGAGGCACGAAAGCGUGGGGAGCAAA